CGGAGAGUUUGAUCCUGGCUCAGGACGAACGCUGGCGGCAUGCCUAAUACAUGCAAGUCGAACGAGCUUCCGUUGAAUGACGUGCUUGCACUGAUUUCAACAAUGAAGCGAGUGGCGAACUGGUGAGUAACACGUGGGGAAUCUGCCCAGAAGCAGGGGAUAACACUUGGAAACAGGUGCUAAUACCGUAUAACAACAAAAUCCGCAUGGAUCUUGUUUGAAAGGUGGCUUCGGCUAUCACUUCUGGAUGAUCCCGCGGCGUAUUAGUUAGUUGGUGAGGUAAAGGCCCACCAAGACGAUGAUACGUAGCCGACCUGAGAGGGUAAUCGGCCACAUUGGGACUGAGACACGGCCCAAACUCCUACGGGAGGCAGCAGUAGGGAAUCUUCCACAAUGGACGAAAGUCUGAUGGAGCAACGCCGCGUGAGUGAAGAAGGGUUUCGGCUCGUAAAACUCUGUUGUUAAAGAAGAACAUAUCUGAGAGUAACUGUUCAGGUAUUGACGGUAUUUAACCAGAAAGCCACGGCUAACUACGUGCCAGCAGCCGCGGUAAUACGUAGGUGGCAAGCGUUGUCCGGAUUUAUUGGGCGUAAAGCGAGCGCAGGCGGUUUUUUAAGUCUGAUGUGAAAGCCUUCGGCUCAACCGAAGAAGUGCAUCGGAAACUGGGAAACUUGAGUGCAGAAGAGGACAGUGGAACUCCAUGUGUAGCGGUGAAAUGCGUAGAUAUAUGGAAGAACACCAGUGGCGAAGGCGGCUGUCUGGUCUGUAACUGACGCUGAGGCUCGAAAGUAUGGGUAGCAAACAGGAUUAGAUACCCUGGUAGUCCAUACCGUAAACGAUGAAUGCUAAGUGUUGGA
This 857-nucleotide ribosomal RNA is filed under the name uncultured bacterium. Its description in RNAcentral is "bacterial SSU rRNA". It matches the Rfam family "Bacterial small subunit ribosomal RNA", at positions 1 to 827 of the family's 1533-position model. The record is from RNAcentral.